RNAcentral lists this unclassified non-coding RNA (670 nucleotides) under Hevea brasiliensis (rubber tree). The record is from RNAcentral. Lineage: Eukaryota; Viridiplantae; Streptophyta; Magnoliopsida; Malpighiales; Euphorbiaceae.
GGAAGCUUGAUUUUGACGCUAAAACCAGUGGAAAUGGUGAACUACAUGCUAAUGAUAACCGCCGAUCUCGAGAACAUCACCAGCCUCCAGCCUCAGGGCGGUUGCGACGAUCCUUCUUUCCCUUACUUCUUCAAGGUCCAUUCUACAUCGCCUCUCCUCUUCUUCGCUUCUUUUGUUCCUCUUAUGUAUAUAACAUGUGAUACCGACCUCUGUGCAAAUGCGUUAGGGUUUUCUUGUUCUAUCGCUGUCGGUCUCUAUUGCUUCUAAUUGAUCUUCAAUGUAUUCUUAUGCGACUGGUUACUAUUAUUGUUCGUCAUUCUCAGUUUUCCUUCGUUUUCUUUAGGUUCUGUUUUUAGCAUCUUCAAUUUAGUGGAAUUUGCCCAUUUUCUUUCUGCUUUGAAUCUGGAUUCUCAUAGCUAUUUGUGCAUAUUUCCUUUUUCUUUUCUGGGCGCAUCUGAUAUAAGCUCCAUCUGCAGUUUAAAAAAAAAAAGCUCCAUCUCACAUGACAAUGAGUUCUAUAACCAUUAAAAUUAAAUAUUUUUAUGGAAAUUUGUCUAAAAUUAAAAUUAAUUAAAGUGUGUAUAAUGGGGGUACAACUCUAGAUGCAAGUAUUUGAUUCAAGUACUGUUCAGCUCACUCUCAUGGGAGAUGAGCUCAUUGUAGCAGCUUC